Molecule: ribosomal RNA, 301 nt
Filed under: uncultured bacterium
Lineage: Bacteria
Description: partial 16S ribosomal RNA
Rfam family: Bacterial small subunit ribosomal RNA
Source: RNAcentral
CAGUAGCCGCGGUAAUACGGAGGGCGCGAGCGUUACCCGGAUUUACUGGGCGUAAAGGGCGUGCAGGCGGCCUGGGGCGUCCCAUGUGAAAGGCCACGGCUCAACCGUGGAGGAGCGUGGGAUACGCUCAGGCUUGAGGGUGGGAGAGGGUGGUGGAAUUCCCGGAGUAGCGGUGAAAUGCGCAGAUACCGGGAGGAACGCCGAUGGCGAAGGCAGCCACCUGGUCCACUUCUGACGCUGGGGCGCGAAAGCGUGGGGAGCAAACCGGAUUAGAUACCCCCGUAGUCCCUGUCUCUUAUAC